RNAcentral lists this transfer RNA (67 nucleotides) under Sophrops subrugatus. Its description in RNAcentral is "tRNA-Val". The record is from RNAcentral. RNAcentral also lists the same sequence under 1 other name. Lineage: Eukaryota; Metazoa; Arthropoda; Insecta; Coleoptera; Scarabaeidae.
CAAAUUAGGGCCGGAUAGGUAUUUUAUUUACAUUAAAAGGGUAGUUGUUAAAAUCAAUUUAGUUUGA